RNAcentral lists this long non-coding RNA (4869 nucleotides) under Nicotiana tabacum (common tobacco). Its description in RNAcentral is "long non-coding RNA (NTAB_LNC008795)". Lineage: Eukaryota; Viridiplantae; Streptophyta; Magnoliopsida; Solanales; Solanaceae. The record is from RNAcentral.
CAAGAAGCAAUCGGCGCCCCACCCCUACCCCUAUUCUCUAAGACCUUAGAACCUAGUGUACACAAAAAAGGCAGCCUUCGAUCUUCUUCUCCAAGACUCAAAUUUUCUGGUGGAAACGAUGAGCUACUGAUCUUAAGAAAUUUUUCAUUGUUAACUUCGAAAAUAAAAAAAAACAAAACACAAACACUUUAGCUUCUUUCUCCGUGAUUCUGGUUCCCAACUAUGGAGUUUGAUUGAGCGAAGUUUUUUUUUAAGAGCCGAGGUUGCCGUUCGAGGUGUCAAUUUUGAAUUCGUGAUUUCUACCCGUCUCUCAUCGUUGUCCUCUCAGUUGAAUCUGUGGAGCCAAACUUUCUGUAUUUGCCGAUUUUUAAUCUAUUGAAAGAACUCCAACAGGUCCCCCUAAACUUCCCUCUCUUAUUUUGUUUGAUCUCUCUUUUUGCCAUGUUAUUUUGCGUAUGAUGAUUAAUUCUCCAUGAUACAUGUCCAUAGAAGUAGUUUUGUAUCGUUGCAAUUUGGGGCUAGGAAUCCUAGACUCACUUAGUUGUAAUUACUUUUUUUUUUGUAGAAAAUGGUGUUGAUUUUGGUGUUCGUUGGUUUAUGAUGCAAUCUUCAUUUGAACUAAGCUUGAGGUUUCACCUUAAAGGGAAUAAUCAGUUUCUUUUACAGUCACAUACUUAAAUCAGUAGUAAUAAUAUUUAGUGUUAGUAUUCUGCAUCUUUCCUUUUAAAACUAGAACUUAAGCUUUCAAUAUAUCAGUGGUGGAUUUUUCAACUUUGGGUUGAGUAUGAAUUGUUAAUGUUUAUUAGAUUUAUUUGGAGAAUUGAUGUUUAUUAGUUAAAUUUGUUUUGGUAUUGAAAAUACGUUAGAAUGGCAUCCUAAUAUGAUUUGGUUAAAUUUCUUUAAAUUUUUUAGUGCUUUAGUCCAUUUCUUGUCCCCAUGUAGAUACGUUAAUUUGUCUCUUAUUGACUUAGUUUGUUGAAUAGAUAUGGCAAAGUAAGUUGGUUUUGAUUUGAGUUGAAAGAGCGUUAAGGAAUCUUGCAGCUCAGUUGUGGCGUAGUUGGUUUAAAAUUGACGUGGGAUCGGGACUUAAAUAUUAAAAGACAACGGAAAGAAAUAUUCUUGUUGGGCGCGUUUUAUUUUAUUUAAUUGGUCCGCUAGUAGCAUGUUUAGGCCGACUACUUGGGUAGGCAAUAUUAGGACACUUUAUUAGUUUUCGAGGCGAGAGGUCGUUCCUUUAGUUUAUUAUCUGGGGAAUGCCCCGCGAAAUUUGUAGAUAUUUUUAUCCGGGGUAUGCCCCAAAGCAUUUGUAUUUGGAGGCCGAAAGUAGAACUUGUAGUAUUUUUAUUUUAUUUUUUAUUUUUCAUUUCUCUUUUAUUAGGUAAGGACAACCUCGAGCCUCUUGUGUGUUUAUUCCAUUGUUUUGCCCUAAUUUGAAUAUUUUAAAAGCCAACUAGAUUGAGUACGCAACCGUGACUUUCACGGGACUCGGGGAAUGUCUAACACCUUCUCUCCAAGUUAAAUGAACACCCUUACCCGAUUCUCUGGUGCAAACUUAGUUUUAGAGUCUCAAGUGUUUUAAAAGGAAACAAAAUUAUUUUUAGAAAAACGGUGACCUGACACUUGAAAUCAAUGUCAGGUGGCGACUCUUAGUUAAUCCUUUUGAACACAAAUUUUGUCACAUCCUAAUUGAAAACCCUUUUCAUGCUUUACAAAAAUCUUUUUAUUAAUUUAAGAGGGUUUAGUGAAGUUUGUAAAAAAAUAGGUGUGACAGGGUAUUGCUCCAAGUGUCGCCUAUGAAGGGCGUGAUGAGAUUUGGGAAGAAGGGCAAGCUUAGCCCUAUCAGUCCGUUUGAGAUUCUUGAUCGAGUGGGAGAGGUGGCUUAUAGACUUGCAUUGCCGUCGAUCUUAUCAGCCGUGCAUCCUGUGUUUCAUGUGUCCAUGCUCCAGAAAUAUCACGUCGAUCCAUCCCACGUGUUUGAUUUCAGCACUAUCCAGUUGAACAAGGACUUGUCUUAUGAGGAGGAACCGGUAGCUAUUCUAGACCGGCAGGUUCAUCAGUUGAGGUCGAAGAGUUUUCCUUCUGUUCAUGUUCCGUGGAGAGGUCAGCCUCCUGAGGCACCGACCUAGGAGUCUGAGUCCGAUAUGCGGAGCCGUUAUCCCCAUCUUUUCCCCGACUUAGGUACUUCUUUCUUCUGUCCGUUCGAGGACGAACGAUUGUUUUAGAGGUGGAGAAUGUGAUGACCCAAAAGGAAAUUGUGUGUUCUGAGGCCUUGGAAACCUUAUUUAGAGUCACCUCGAUUUGCGUGCACAGUCCGGGCGCGUAGCUGGAAAGCUUAAAUAUGAUAAUCUAUGAAAAAUGAUAAGUUUUGAUUAUAAAAUGAGCUAAUUUGACUUCGGUCAAUGUUUUGGAUAAACAGACCCGGACCUGUGAUUUGACGAUCUAAGAGGGUCUGUAGGAAAAUAUGGGACUUGGGCGUAUGCCCGAAAUCGAAUUCCGAGGUCCCAAGCCCGAGGAAUGAAUUUUCAAAGGAAAAUUGAUUUCUGGAAUUGUUUAAAGAAAUUUGAAAUGAAAUUUGAUUAGAACAUGAUGGUAUCGAGCCCGUAUUUUGGUUCCGGCGGCCGGUACAGGUCUUAUAUAUGAUUUAAGAUAUUUUUGUGGAAUUUGGUAAAAAUUGGAUGUCAUAUGACGUGAUUCGGACUUAAUUGCAAAAUUUAUGUUUAAAGAAGUUUUGAGAAAUUUCAUUGAUCUCGAGGUUUAAUUUGAUGUUCAUGACGUUAUUUUGGUGAUUUGAUUACACGAAUAAGUCCGUAGGAUAUUCUUGAGAUUUUGUGUGCACUUGGUUUGGAGUUCUGAGGGCUCGGGUGAGUUUCGGGUAGGUUCGAGAUGUUUUAGACUUAAAACCAGAAGUUGCAGGUAUCUGAACCCGCUAAUGCGGUCCUCACAAAAACGUGUGCGACCGCGGAAGAGGGCCAGUAUGGUCCGCGGUCGGCUUUGUGCGGUGCGCGGUGGAGGGUAGUGCGGCCACGGUCCAUUUCGUGCGGUCCGUAUAGGGCACUGGACCGCAGUACAUCAGGAAGGCCUGUGCGGCCGCAAUCCAUUUUGUGCGUCCGCAGUCCAUUUUGUGUGUCCGCACAGGGGGUCUGAGAGGGGUAUAAAUAGACGAGAUUUUCAGUUAUUUUGCAUUUUUCAAAAACCCCAAAAAUAUAAGAGGCGAUUUUUCAAACAACCUUUCUUCUCCAAAUCAAUCGUAAGUCAUUUUUAACUAGUUUACUUCUAUUAUUAACAUCUUUUAACAUGAUUUCAACUUCAAAUCAAUUAUUUUCAUGGGGGAAUUAGGUGUUUUGGUAGAACCUAGGUUUUUUUCAAAAAUUGGGGAUUUGGACCUCGAUUUGAGGCCCGAUUUCAAAACAAAUAACAUAUUUGAGCUCGUGGAGGAAUGGGUAAUCGGUUCGUUCGAACCUCGGGUUUUGACCACGUGGGCCCGGGGGCGAUUUUGACUUUUUGGGUAAAACUUUGGAAAACUAAUUUUCAUGCAUUCAAAUUGAUUCAUUUAGUGUUUAUUGAUAUAAUUAAGUAAAUUGUGACUAGAUACGAGCGAAUUGGCGGUGGAAUCGAGAGGUAAAGCUAUAAUUGAAACUUGAAUUGUGUUCGAGGCAUCGUGAUAAGUGUUUGGUCUAACCUUAGUUUGAGGGAUUUAGGAGUUGAGUCUUAUUUUCUACAUGAUAAUUCUUGAGUACGACGUAUAGGCAUGGUGACGAGUAUCUAUACGUUGGUGUCUAGCAUGACCGUGAGUCUUUAAAUUGUGAAUAUCUUGAUUCCGUUGUAUCUUUCAUGCCUUGGUGAUGAUUUCUAUUUGUUGUGAAAAGCUUGUGGAAGGAAAUUUUGACCUUUGAACAUCGAGGAGUAUUGGCUCAAGUUAUAUUACAAAUUGUGAACGUAUAUGAGAUGAUUGAACCCUUUGGAGCAUUGGCUCAAGUGGUAAAGUGAGUUAUGAAAUAAAAGUUAAAGAAAGAGAAAGAGAUAUUAAAUUGUUCCCUUGUUGGGAUAUUGUUUCUUUGUUGAUUAUCUCCCUUGCCAGGAUGUUGAGAUUAUUGAUGUUGUUCCCUUGCCGGGAUUUAAUUGUUUAAUUGUGUUCCCUUGCCAGGAUUUCUAUUAUUAUUUUGUUUAUUCCCUUGCCCUUUUGUUUGUGAUUGUUGUUUGGGUGAGGAAGAGUGUUAAACCAUGAAGGGUGAUACCGUGCAUUGUUUGUUAUUGUGAGGAAAGAGUGUAAAGCACGAAGGGUGAUGCAGUGCCGCACAACAUACCAUUCAGUGCCGAUUCUAUUGAUUAUAUGGUGAGGAAAGAGAGUAAAAGCACGAAGGGUGAUGCCGUGCAUAUUUUGAUUAUAUGAUUGUUUUGGUGAGGACGAGAGUAAAAGCACGAAGGGUGAUGCCGUGCACAUUUUUAUUAUAUAACUGCUUUCAUGAGGCUGAGAGUAAAAGCAUGAAGGGUGAUGCCGUGCAAUUGUUGAUUUCUUCUUCCUUGUUGAUAUUCUGGUUAUGUUGUUUCUUUCCUUACUUGAUGCCUUUCUAUUCAGAACUAUUAUCUCCCCCCCAACAUGUUUCCCCUUCCCACAUUGACUGGUUAUUUCUGUAUUUCUUUUCCGCUGUAUAUAUAUAUAUGAACUGCACAUGUUUAUUUGGUAGUCUGGUCCUAGCCUCGUCACUACUUCGCCGAGGUUAAGCUAGACACUUACCAACACAUGGGGUCGGUUGUGCUGAUACUACACUCUGCACUAUGUGUAAAUCUAGGAGCAGCUUUCGGACAAUAGUUGGAGGGCUUCCUUCAGUCCACUCGGAGACCUAAGGUGGAUCUGCAGGCGUCCGCAGG